UACGGAGGGUGCAAGCGUUAUCCGGAUUCACUGGGUUUAAAGGGUGCGUAGGUGGGCAGGUAAGUCAGUGGUGAAAUCUCCGGGCUUAACCCGGAAACUGCCAUUGAUACUAUCUGUCUUGAAUACCGUGGAGGUGAGCGGAAUAUGACAUGUAGCGGUGAAAUGCUUAGAUAUGACAUAGAACACCAAUUGCGAAGGCAGCUCACUACACGAAUAUUGACACUGAGGCACGAAAGCGUGGGGAUCAAACAGG
RNAcentral lists this ribosomal RNA (253 nucleotides) under uncultured bacterium. Its description in RNAcentral is "partial 16S ribosomal RNA". It matches the Rfam family "Bacterial small subunit ribosomal RNA", at positions 524 to 776 of the family's 1533-position model. The record is from RNAcentral.